RNAcentral lists this ribosomal RNA (189 nucleotides) under uncultured Enterococcus sp. RNAcentral describes it as "partial 16S ribosomal RNA". It matches the Rfam family "Bacterial small subunit ribosomal RNA", at positions 344 to 525 of the family's 1533-position model. The record is from RNAcentral. Lineage: Bacteria; Bacillati; Bacillota; Bacilli; Lactobacillales; Enterococcaceae.
GGAGGCAGCAGUAGGGAAUCUUCGGCAAUGGACGAAAGUCUGACCGAGCAACGCCGCGUGAGUGAAGAAGGUUUUCGGAUCGUAAAACUCUGUUGUUAGAGAAGAACAAGGACGUUAGUAACUGAACGUCCCCUGACGGUAUCUAACCAGAAAGCCACGGCUAACUACGUGCCAGCAGCCGCGGUAAUA